RNAcentral lists this unclassified non-coding RNA (272 nucleotides) under Exaiptasia diaphana. RNAcentral describes it as "neuropeptide FF receptor 1-like, transcript variant X1". Lineage: Eukaryota; Metazoa; Cnidaria; Anthozoa; Actiniaria; Aiptasiidae. The record is from RNAcentral.
GCGCUUUUGCCUUGUGAAGGAGGAGACCGGAUUUCCAAGACGUUUUUUUGUUCACGCUUAUUUGUUUUUGAGUAUUUUGUAACUUAGUAUACUUUCCAGUUGACCGUGAAAGGCUUCUUGGCUUCAGCUUAUCUGGCAUUUGUGGUUUACUGAACACAAAAAGGACAAGACAACAAGUAAAGUUGUUUAUGCAUCUCGACGACAACUGACCAAAGUUCUCGGGAUGGUUAUUAUUGUAUUCAAUGUCUGUUGGCUUCCNUGGUUCUUCGUCG